Molecule: transfer RNA, 73 nt
Filed under: Marseillevirus LCMAC202
Lineage: Varidnaviria; Bamfordvirae; Nucleocytoviricota; Megaviricetes; Pimascovirales; Marseilleviridae
Description: tRNA-Ile
Rfam family: tRNA
About the family: Transfer RNA (tRNA) molecules are approximately 80 nucleotides in length. Their secondary structure includes four short double-helical elements and three loops (D, anti-codon, and T loops).
Source: RNAcentral
GCACGCGUAGCUCAGUUGGUAGAGCGUCAUCCUAAUAAGGUGAUGGUCGCAGGUUCAAUCCCUGCCGUGUGCA